UGGGAAUUUUGGACAAUGGGCGAAAGCCUGAUCCAGCAAUGCCGCGUGUGUGAAGAAGGCCUUCGGGUUGUAAAGCACUUUGUCCGGAAAGAAAUCCUUGGCUCUAAUACAGUCGGGGGGAUGACGGUACCGGAAGAAUAAGCACCGGCUAACUACGUGCCAGCAGCCGCGGUAAUACGUAGGGUGCAAGCGUUAAUCGGAAUUACUGGGCGUAAAGCGUGCGCAGGCGGUUUGCUAAGACCGAUGUGAAAUCCCCGGGCUCAACUGGGAACUGCAUUGGUGACUGGCAGGCUAGAGUAUGGCAGAGGGGGGUAGAAUUCCACGUGUANCAGUGAAAUGCGUAGAGAUGUGGAGGAAUACCGAUGGCGAAGGCAGCCCCCUGGGCCAAUACUGACGCUCAUGACGAAAGCG
Molecule: ribosomal RNA, 411 nt
Filed under: uncultured bacterium
Lineage: Bacteria
Description: partial 16S ribosomal RNA
Rfam family: Bacterial small subunit ribosomal RNA
Source: RNAcentral